Long non-coding RNA from Ahaetulla prasina, 400 nucleotides. RefSeq lists it as uncharacterized. The record is from RefSeq and is a predicted model, not a curated record. The transcript has 4 exons. Lineage: Eukaryota; Metazoa; Chordata; Lepidosauria; Squamata; Colubridae.
UGCUGACUGAGCAGAUGGAUUCCAGGCAGGCAGUUGCUAGCUGAUGCAUGGAUUUCCCAGCCGGAAUGGAGCAAUUAAUUAGAGUUCCUCAGCCAGCGGAUCCAGCCAGUUGAUCACCGAGGAAAUAGAUUAGCUGAAACUGACACUGCUUUCGGGCUGUGGCCAUGCGUUCAUCAGUUAUCAGGGGCAGAGUUGCAGUUGCAGCUCUUUAGGUAUGUGGCAGGACUUUCAAUUUACAGCAUUAUAGCAGUCAACUGAAAAAGCUGAAGAUGUGCUGAACAAAAAAUAGCUGGCAGCAGUUUGAUUUGAUUUCAUAAUAAGACUUCCUGUAAAAGAACCUGUGAAAACAUCAUAUGCAUGAUUGCAUCCCUGUGUGAUACAAUGGAAAGUUAUCUUUUCA